CUUCGAUCCGAAUUACAACAAAUAGUAUCAGAACAAGGUUUGAUUUGUUCGAGGUUUUUUUUUUUCUCAAUAGCUUCCAUGAAGUAUGACGUUCCUCUUUUGGAUCGGAGCACUAGAUUCUCGCUACUACAACUUAAGAUGUGAGUAGUACUAGCACGGGUGGAUUUAAAAGAUGCAUUGUUGGGAAUUGACAAGAUGCCCACAACUUUAACCGUGAAGGAGAAAUUACGGAAGGAUAAGAAGGCUUUUCAUAUCUAUCUUCAUCUUUCGAAUAACAUUCUUUAGGACGUUUUGAAGGAGAGUUCUACAACUAUAUUAUGAUUGAUAUUGAAAAAAUUAUACAUAACCAAAAGUCUAACAAGUAAGUUGCAUUUGAAGCAGCGAUUAUACUCUCAUCACGUGACAGAAGCAAGAUCUUUGGAUGAUCACCUCGCUAUAUUUAAGGAGAUUGUCGCCGAUUUGAAAACUUUGGAAGAAAAAUAUGAUGAAAAAGAUUUGGCCUUGAUCUUAUUAUGUUUGUUGCUGCCUUCGUUUUCUUCAUUUAGAGACACGAUCUCGUGUAAUCGUGAUACUCUCACCAGAGACGAUGUGUACGAUGCUUUGUUUUCAAAUGAGAAGAUGAAGUAUCUGGUUGGAUCCAAGGCCAGUAAUGGAAAAUGCCUUGUUAUUCAUGGUUGUUACAAAAGGGGUAGAUCAAAGUCUAAUUUCAAUAAUCAAAUGUGUAACUUUAUCAUCAAGAAGAGGGGGCACAUUAAGAAAGGUUGAUUGCAAAUCAGAAUGGUAAGUAAUCAGAUAUUUUAAACGAAGUAGAUCAGGCAGAGAACUGUAUGAGUGAUGGAGAUCUUUUGGCUAUAUCUGACAUCUAAUUUAAAUCUGAAGAGAAUUGGAUUCUAGAUUUAGCAUGUGCAUUUCAUAUGUAUCCUAAUAAGGACUGAUUUACUACAUAUGAAACAGUUUCCAAAUGUGUCAUAAUUAUGGAAGCAUGGAACACAAAGCACCUUGUCGGUUUGCUUUUUGGUAAGGUCAAAUUGAAGCCAAGGGAUGGACAAUUAGAACACUUGUCUAGGUUCGAGAUGUUCCAAAUUUGAAAAAAGAAUCUCAUCUCAUUGUCUAUACUUAAUUUAAACCGUUACGAGUUCUCUGGGGGAGGUGGAGCAUCGAAGGUUUGCAAGGAUGCCCAGGUUGUAUUGAAGGAACAGAAAAGGUCUCAAAUAUACAUCUUACGGGGUCUUGCAAAAUCUAGAAAAAUCAAUCAGCACAGGUUUAGUACUUUGGUGAACAUUCAAUUGGUCUCAAUACCUUUGGGAUUUUUUAUAGGGUCAGAUUUGAAAUAUACAUCUCAAUUGAGUUAAGAAAUAUAGGUAAUAUCACUUUGCCAUCAUCACCUGCGGUGCUAUUAUAUUUAACUAGGAACGACAUAGUGGAGAAAGGUAUUUGGAUGCUGAUUUUGUUGGGCAUGCUUUAUGCAUAGUUGAAAGUGUACAGUUUAGAAAGGGAUUGCCUUCUAUAAAAGCAUUUGUGAUUGAUUUUGCUUUAUGAUGUGUUACAG
RNAcentral lists this long non-coding RNA (1549 nucleotides) under Olea europaea subsp. europaea. The record is from RNAcentral. Lineage: Eukaryota; Viridiplantae; Streptophyta; Magnoliopsida; Lamiales; Oleaceae.